This 415-nucleotide ribosomal RNA is filed under the name uncultured microorganism. RNAcentral describes it as "bacterial SSU rRNA". It matches the Rfam family "Archaeal small subunit ribosomal RNA", at positions 459 to 872 of the family's 1478-position model. The record is from RNAcentral.
CAGCCGCCGCGGUAACACCGGCAGCUCAAGUGGUAGCCGCUUUUAUUGGGCCUAAAGCGUCCGUAGCCGGUCUGAUAAGUCUCUGGUGAAAUCCCGCAGCUUAACUGUGGGAAUUGCUGGAGAUACUAUCAUGACUCGAGGUCGGGAGAGGCUGGAGGUACUCCCAGGGUAGGGGUGAAAUCCUGUAAUCCUGGGAGGACCACCUGUGGCGAAGGCGUCCAGCUGGAACGAACCUGACGGUGAGGGACGAAAGCCAGGGGCGCGAACCGGAUUAGAUACCCGGGUAGUCCUGGCCGUAAACGAUGUGGACUUGGUGUUGGGAUGGCUUCGAGCUGCCCCAGUGCCGAAGGGAAGCUGUUAAGUCCACCGCCUGGGAAGUACGGCCGCAAGGCUGAAACUUAAAGGAAUUGGCGGG